UAAGACAGAGGGUGCAAGCGUUGUUCGGAAUUACUGGGCGUAAAGCGCGCGUAGGUGGUUAUGUGUGUCUGGCGUGAAAUCCCUUGGCUUAACCAAGGAAGUGCACCAGAAACUGCAAAACUUGAGUUCGGGAGAGGAUGGUAGAAUUCUCAGUGUAGAGGUGAAAUUCGUAGAUACUGGGAGGAACACCGGUGGCGAAGGCGACCAUCUGGACCGAUACUGACACUGAUGUGCGAAAGCGUGGGUAGCAAACAGGAUUAGAUACCCUGGUAGUCCACGCCGUAAACGAUGAUAACUAGGUGUAGGAGGUAUUGACCCCUCCUGUACCGAAGCUAACGCAUUAAGUUAUCCGCCUGGGGAGUACGGUCGCAAGAUUA
RNAcentral lists this ribosomal RNA (377 nucleotides) under uncultured bacterium. RNAcentral's name for it is "bacterial SSU rRNA". It matches the Rfam family "Bacterial small subunit ribosomal RNA", at positions 521 to 896 of the family's 1533-position model. The record is from RNAcentral.